AGGAGAAAUAAGAUAAAAUUGUUCCAUGGAGCCAACGGCUUCCGGAGAUCUCUUUUUUAUCCCCUCCCCCUCCAUGGAGCCAUGAGUUCACCUCCAGUUCCGCCGCGACUCAUCGUGGUCGGCAACCACUACUAGGCCCCGGCCGCCCCGAUCCUCCACGAGACAGCAGGUGCUCGCUUCCAAUGCGGCUCCCCUUCCAGUUUCUUGGGCUCGAAUUGGGAUUCCACGAGCGCGCUCGCUUAGCUUUCUAGGGAUUUUGCUAGGGUUCUUCCGUUCAACUCGAAACUUUUUUUUUCUUGCGCGAUUCUUAGUUUCGUUGCGUUGCUCCCCACGGAAUUGGUGUUUUUCUCUGCUUGUUGCGUGGGGGAAUCGGGGUGAAAAGCUGCGUUUUUUGUGCAGUUUCAAGGCGCGGCGACUUUUUGUUCUUCUUCAGUUCUUGAUGGGUUUAGUUUAGGGUUCUUGCUCUGUCUGCGAGCCUUCCAAUUUCAUCGGAUUUGAUCUGGUAGCUUCGCUCUCUUGCUCCAAGGAAUCAAACUCGUAGAUCAAAUCGCAGUUCUAGACCACCUAGAAUUUGUGAAUUUUGUUUGCCAUCUAGCUGCCGGAGAGGCUCCAGAAUCACAAAAUUCUCAGUUUUUGGCACUUUCCACCGGCUUGCCUCCAGUAGCUCCAAAUUUGACCAACUUCUUGCUUUUGGCAUCAUCCCCAACCACAUAACUAUGGCCGCCACUGCCUCAGAGCCGCCCAUGGUGGAGCAAGUGAUCACCGAGUUCUUUGCCAAGAGCCUCCACAUCAUCCUGGAGUCCCGCUCGCCCUACGAAUCAUCACGCAGCUUCACGCGGCCUUCACCGCCAUCUUCGCCGCUCUCUGGCAGCCAGCCACGGGACAGGUGGUUCAACCUUGCCCUCCGGGACUGCCCAGCUGCACUUGAGAACUUUGACCUGUGGAGACAGAGCAAUCUUGAGCCAUUGGUUAUUGAUAUUGUGAUGCUCCGGCGUGACAAUCCCAACACUACCUGUGCUGAGGGUGGCAAGAUCAUAGAGAGGUGGGUGAUACAGUAUGAAACCAGCAAGCCUGGCAGUGGCAAUGGUAAUGGCAGCAAGAACCAUAGCAGGAAGUCUAGGAACAGCCCGGCUGAGGAUCAUAGCUUGUACAGGAGUACAUACAAGGGCUCAACAGUGUUACUUCGGUCAUUGCAUCUGGUUGUCAGGCUCUUGCCAGCCUACAAUCUCUUCAGGGAGUUGAAUUCAUCUGGGAGAAUCCGUCCACUUAACCUGUCACACAAGAUAUCAUCAUUCGUCGAGCCGUUUACUAGGGCAGAGGAUGCAGAGAUGAAGCACUAUGCAUUUGCUCCAAUUGAAACUCUGUUUGGCCGCCUGAGCUUGUCAGUUUCUUAUGUGCCAGUGCUGGAGGUGGUGGCAGCACCAGAGCCAACCACACACAUGUCAACAGAGCUUAUAAUGGAUUAUGUCGGGAGCCCCACAACAGACUUCCUCAGGACGUUCAAUUCCCUGCCUUCAGAUGGCAUUGCACCUGAUUGUGCUGCAAUGACUAGGCGUCACAGUUGGAGUAUUGACCCUGGAGCUAGACCAUCGGUAUCACCAUCUCCUCUUUUGCAUGAUAGUCCUCUAACACGUUUGCAUCCACAUAGCACAAUAUCCUCUGGGAAGAAAAAAAGUACAGGAUUUGAAGACUGCUAUCAGUCACCACUGUUGUCACCAUCGCCAUCCCGUUCCCCUUCUGCUAGCUACCCAAAAAAUUCUUUGUUCCGAUAUGAGAGUGCUCCUGUGGUCAUUCCCACUGGGAGGGAUGGUGGAGGUAGUGGACUGCCUCCUUCUCCAUCUUUCAAGGGUAAACACCAGCUCCCAUCUCAAAACUACAACCUAACCCCAUCGCCUGAUGGAGAUUCAAAUGUAAGGAAGGAUUUGGUCAGGUUUGGUGAAUUUGAGAAUAAUACGGCCAUGCAAAAGGUGCUAUCUUUUGAUAAAUAUGAUUUGGGAUAUUUUCAUGGACUGAAGUUGACUCGGACUGCGAGCAAACUUUUUAUCACGGAUGAACUGGAUGAGCGGGAGUUGGCAUUUGCAUGGGAAGAUAGAGAUAUCAUUAUUGAUCAACUUAACAGGGUUGGUAUCUCGGAUAGGGAGGGCCAAGAGACAAACCAGGACGCUGGAGGCUCGAUGGCAAGGACUCCAGCUGCAGGCAUCGGCGCUCUUGUGCGCAUGCUCAAGACGGCCCCGGGCCUCAGGGCAAGCCGCCCAUCAAUCGAAGCUCCUCCCCCAGUUCCUCAAGAAUCUUCAGUUCAGAGGGUCAUGACCGAGGAACACGGCGAUAUGGCAUCAAGCUCUGCCUUGCUCCAAUCAAAGACGGCAGCGGACGCACUGGAGGAGCUAAAGAAAUACAAGGCUAUCAGAGAAUCGAUACUGGACCGUGCGAAAGCGUUGCCCCGGGAUGAUGGCAAGAUGGGGGAGAAACCCGCCGAUGGAGAUCCUUAGCAAACAUACAGUAUGACGACGAAAAGACUUGUGUACAUAUAUGUAUUAUAAGGUAGCUGACGAUUCCCACCCCCCAUACCUUAGUUGCUAGUAGCUACUAGGGUGCGGCCAAAAUCUAUAUGUAUAAGUUAUAUGACAAUACCCAUCCAUCCAGCUGCCUUGAGAUGAAGGCCCAGCUAUGGAUUUUGUGUAAAGUUGAAAACCGAAAUGCCUAGCUGCUUCGAUCAGAUUGUUUUUGGUGAAUGUUUAUUCUGCCCAUAUGGAGUUGGAUGUUCC
Molecule: ribosomal RNA, 2765 nt
Filed under: Triticum aestivum (bread wheat)
Lineage: Eukaryota; Viridiplantae; Streptophyta; Magnoliopsida; Poales; Poaceae
Description: partial small subunit ribosomal RNA
Source: RNAcentral